This is a long non-coding RNA of Ostrinia furnacalis (Asian corn borer), 293 nucleotides long. RefSeq lists it as uncharacterized. The record is from RefSeq and is a predicted model, not a curated record. NCBI's taxonomy places the organism in Eukaryota, Metazoa, Arthropoda, Insecta, Lepidoptera, Crambidae. The transcript has 2 exons.
GUCUGACGUUUAUUAAAUCUUUCCGUGAACGCGGUCGAUGUUGAUCGAUGUAAAUAAAAGAACACACGCUACGUGGCGUUAGCGAGCAUCAGCGUGAAGUUCACUAGUCAAAGCAAAAGGCGUGUUUCUUGUUUACGGAAAAAAAUAAUUGAUUUUGUUGGUAUUCAUUUAAUACGAUCAACAUGGAAAACUAUAAAAGUGAAAAGAAGAGGAAGUCGAAAAACAAAUUAAAAGAGGAUAGUAUAACUUAUAAAAAUAUAAUGAAAAGGCUAAUGCAAGGAAGCGCAAGUUUU